AACUUUUAGCAACGGAUCUCUUGGCUCUCGCAUCGAUGAAGAACGCAGCGAAAUGCGAUACGUAAUGUGAAUUGCAUAAUUCAGUGAAUCAUCGAAUCUUUGAACGCACCUUGCGCCCUUUGGUAUUCCGAGGGGCACACCCGUUUGAGUGUCGUGACAUUCUCAAAACCUUCUCGGUUUCUCGACCGGGAAGGCUUUGGACUUUGGAGGCUUUUGCUGGCAUUCCUUUGUUGGAGCCAGCUCCUCUGAAAUGAAUUAGUGGGGUCUGCUUUGCCGAUCCUUGACGUGAUAAGAUGUUUUCUACGUCUUGGGUUUUAGCACUCCUGCUUCUAACCGUCUCACAGUAGACAAAUGGUCCACUCGACCCACAAACCUUGACCUCAAAUCGGGUGAGACUACCCGCUGAACUUAAGCAUAUCAAUAAGCGGAGGCU
Molecule: unclassified non-coding RNA, 433 nt
Filed under: uncultured Russula
Lineage: Eukaryota; Fungi; Basidiomycota; Agaricomycetes; Russulales; Russulaceae
Description: sequence contains ITS2
Rfam family: 5.8S ribosomal RNA (bases 1-154)
Source: RNAcentral